Non-coding RNA from Marchantia polymorpha subsp. ruderalis, 78 nucleotides. The record is from the annotation of a GenBank genome assembly. NCBI's taxonomy places the organism in Eukaryota, Viridiplantae, Streptophyta, Marchantiopsida, Marchantiales, Marchantiaceae.
UAGUAAGAAUGAAGAUGAAUUCUGCUCUGGUUGCAAUAUUCGUGGCAACCAGAGUCGAAUUCUUCUUCAUUCUUACUA